AUGAAAUACUUGAGAACGCCCAUGGGCACAAACCACUCCCGUAAAGCCCAGCACAGGGUAGGUGUGAGCGGGGGCAGGAGUGGAGGGCUGCCACCUGCCCCCUGGACGCCACUGGGAAGCCACUGGGUCACUGCUGCGGAGAGCCCACUGGGGGCACUGGUGUCCCGCAUUAUUCUUCUAUGUGUUUUUUAUUUUCUCCUAAAGAGGAUUCAUUGCUUUUAUAACAUCAAACACCAACAGAGAAACAUGAAAAGCAGAGAAAAUUUUGGAAACAGACAAAAUCACUUAGAGACUCACCAGAGGCCCAAAACCAUCCUGGGAGGCAUCCCUCAUUGCCAACACUCAAAAUGCCAGUGGCAGGAGCUAUUCCUCCUCCAUCCCCUGACCGCUCAUUUUCAACCAAAUCACUUGACAAGUCGCACGUACCCUCCUCCUCAGCUCUCGCUGCAGCGCUCCCCACAGCCACCUCAAGGACACCUUUCCAAGGGCAAAGGGCAGGGGCUGGGGGCUGGGUCACUUGCAGAAGUCCUGCCUGGGACAGCUGGGAUGGAAGCCAGGGGACGGUGGAAUGCUUGUUCCCAGUCCCAGUAACACCAAGAGUCGGUUAUAUCAGUGAAUAAAUAUGGGGGAUGGGGUGCAGGGGUCAGCCCAUGGGCAGAGGGCCUUGGGCGUGGGUGUACAGGGAGCAGGGUGGGCUCUGAGCCGCCUGGUGGAAAGGUGGGGGUGUCAGUGCGCGUGCCCAGGGCCACCAGGGAGGAUGCUGGGAGAACAGGGCCUGGGGCUCCUUUGCCCCAAGGUCAGAGAGAGAAAAAGUAGCAGCAAUAGGUAAUUUCAAACGUCCCAAAUGGCAAGGGGUGGGCCUCCAGGCUGGUGACAACCCAUCCCCGCUCUGCCAAGGGUG
RNAcentral lists this long non-coding RNA (901 nucleotides) under Capra hircus (goat). Its description in RNAcentral is "lncRNA (ENSCHIG00010026000.1)". The record is from RNAcentral. Lineage: Eukaryota; Metazoa; Chordata; Mammalia; Artiodactyla; Bovidae.